RNAcentral lists this non-coding RNA (31 nucleotides) under Mus musculus (house mouse). The record is from RNAcentral. Lineage: Eukaryota; Metazoa; Chordata; Mammalia; Rodentia; Muridae.
UUGAAAGAAUAGUCGUGCUUGUAAAGUUGGU